RNAcentral lists this unclassified non-coding RNA (829 nucleotides) under Mus musculus (house mouse). RNAcentral describes it as "steroid receptor RNA activator". The record is from RNAcentral. Lineage: Eukaryota; Metazoa; Chordata; Mammalia; Rodentia; Muridae.
CAAUUCUCCUACGGGCUCCAGACUCAGACUGGUGGACCCAAACGCACUCCCCUUACUAAGAGGGUCGCGGCCCCACAGGAUGGAUCCCCUAGAGCCCCAGAAACUUCUGGACCACCUCCAGUGGAUCAUCCACCUCCUUCAAGUAAGGCUUCCAGGCCUCCGCCCAUGGGGAGCUGUCCUGCUACUGGUGUGGAGCCCCCAAGUUCCCCAGUCAUUGAGUCUGAAACUCUGAUAGAAGACGUGCUGAGACCUCUGGAACAGGCAUUGGAGGACUGCCAUGGUCACACAAAGAAACAGGUAUGUGAUGAUAUCAGCCGACGCUUGGCGCUGCUUCAAGAACAGUGGGCUGGAGGGAAGUUGUCAAAACCUGUAAAGGAGGGGAUGGCAUUGCUAGUGCAAGGAAUUUUAANAUUCACCCAGUGGGAUGCAGCAGAUGACAUUCACCGAUCAUUCAUGGUUGACCAUGUGACUGAGGUCAGUCAGUGGAUGGUGGGAGUAAAAAGAUUAAUUGCAGAAAAGGAAGAGUCUAUCUUCAGAGGAGACCAAAGAAGAGAAAUUUACAGUGGAACCUGAGAACCAGACAAUACCAGGCUUCCAACAGCCAUCAUAAUGCCUGUGGCUCCCCAGACUCACUUCACCUGACUUCCUAUGCCUUAGUGUGGAAGGCUUCUUNUUCCUUUUUACCACCAGGGAGACUAUUGGUCUUGUGGGUCUUGACCAAAGAUCCUAUNUAGACCACUGCAAGAUCACUUGUUAUGUACAUUUCAAUAAACAUCUCAAUAAAAUCUCAAUGGUGGGAAGUGGGUAGGAAAGAUGAAAAAAAAAAAAG